AAGUUGUGAACUGUGCACACACUUAUAGUUAACUUUAGAGGCUUUGUGACAACAGAGACCUGAUGUUUGAGGUGAAAGUAACAGCACAAACUUCAUA
Thalassophryne amazonica is the source of this 97-nucleotide long non-coding RNA. RefSeq lists it as uncharacterized. Lineage: Eukaryota; Metazoa; Chordata; Actinopteri; Batrachoidiformes; Batrachoididae. The record is from RefSeq and is a predicted model, not a curated record. The transcript has 3 exons.